UGUAAGCGUAUACCAAAGUUGUUGCAGUUAAAACGCUCGUAGUCGGACUUUGGCAGUUCCGGAUGUGUGCACGUCGUGUGCGCACUUCGCGGGGAUUGCUUUUGUGGUCUUGCGUAGGAUGAGGCACUUUUAUUAGUGAACGUCCUCACGCAACCACUUUUUACUGUGAGAAAAUCAGAGUGCUCAAAGCAGGCAUUUGCCGUGAAUGUAUUAGCAUGGAAUAAUAGAAUAGGACUUGGUUCUAUUUUGUUGGUUUGUUGGGACUGAGUAAUGAUUAAGAGGGACAGUUGGGGGCAUUUGUAUUUCGGUGCUAGAGGUGAAAUUCUUAGAUUACCGAAAGACAAACUACUGCGAAAGCGUCUGCCAAGGAUGUUUUCAUUGA
Molecule: ribosomal RNA, 382 nt
Filed under: uncultured eukaryote
Lineage: Eukaryota
Description: partial 18S ribosomal RNA
Rfam family: Eukaryotic small subunit ribosomal RNA
Source: RNAcentral